CUUGUAACCCCAGUUCUCAAGACCCCUCAGUGGUACUAUUCCUUCCACUAAAACUGCCUGCCCCCCCUCCCCCACACCUCAUAAAACUGCUAGUUUUCCUGACCGAUUUUCAAAAACCUUGAGAAGAGUUUGUCUGUACACUGGGAAGAAAGCCCAUCCGGAAGAUAAGUUGAAGGAGGGAAAGUACAGGGAGUUUCAAAAGUAUCCUUAUGGUCGCACGCAGCCUGAUAGUCAUGGGUUUUCUGGAUCAGGGGGGUCUUGAGGGGUGCAUAAUGUCGACAAGACUGUGAACGUCACAACUCUCCUCUUCUAUGGGAUUGGACAGCAGGGAGGAGGAGAAUCUUGCGUCUGGAUUAUUAUAAAAGUCUGUGAUUGUACUUAGAAGAAGAGAGGACAUUUUUGCCCCAGGCAAGUGACUUGUGGGGGCAGAAUCCCUUUUCCUUUCCCUCCCCCUUCUCCUCCUCCCUGCUGUCUGCUGUUUUCUCUGAAUAAAGCUGCUUUCUCUGCUAGCUUCUUAUCAAGUCCUCUGUCUGUUCAUUAGAGUGAUUUCUGGGGGCACGAGCCUUCCCAAAAUUCCACUCCAUACAGAUGGGGGCAUGCCCAGGAUUCUAGGAUGCUAGGAGUGCCUCAGUUUACCCAUCUGGACAAAUCUGAGUCCUUCUGUAUGCUUCUAAAAAGCCCCUUCGAUCAAGAGAGCAGAUAGGGAAUGACCGAUGCAAGAGAAGAGACCAGAGCCAACACUUCUAACGUGGACACCAUUGAUUUUGCAAACUGAGGCAUCACUUAUUGGAGAUGGUCACAAAAUGAUCUGCCAGGAUUCCUUCCUUGCUGCUCCAUGUCAGGGUAUUUUGACAUGCUUGAACUGGCUGGCCCUUAUUUUUACAAUCCAGAAGUGAGCACGGGCUUAGCAGCAAACACAUGCCUGAUACCCACCGUCAGAGUGAGAGAACGAGCCUGCUUGGGGUGUUGGCUAAGGUUUCACCAAAGAAUCGAGUUCUAGCUGAAGUUCAUAGCACUGCAAUUUCCACCAAAGGCCUUGGUUGCAAGAACUUUUUGCUCCCUCAUUUAACAACUUCAUCCCUGACUCCUUGGAGUGGAUAUCUGGUCUUGGACUUCAUUCGACUGAGUUUUAGACUUAUCUGUGGAUGGCAGUGGAUCGGUAGUCACAGAACUCUGGGGAAACCCUGGCUCUGUUGAUUCACUCCCUGAUUCUGGGCUUCAAUUUCCUGAUGUGAAUAUGUGGGUCUUGUAUUAAACCAGGAGUUCUUUACCUUUCUUUGUGGUAUGGACCUCCUUGGGCACUUUGGUCAAGUUUAGGAAGACCCCUUCUCAGAAUCAUGGUUUUAAAUGUACAAAACGAAAUCCCUGGGAUUCCAAGGAAUUCUAUUGAAAUAUGGUGUCAAAAUAAAUGGUUGUUUAAAAAAAAAAAGGCAUGGACCCUAGAUUAAGAA
This is a long non-coding RNA of Monodelphis domestica (gray short-tailed opossum), 1451 nucleotides long. RefSeq lists it as uncharacterized. Lineage: Eukaryota; Metazoa; Chordata; Mammalia; Didelphimorphia; Didelphidae. The record is from RefSeq and is a predicted model, not a curated record.